CUUCUCUCUUUGAGAGAUUGGCCUACUUCUCUACUAUCCAACACAGACUACGGAGAGUACGCACUCUGUGCUACUUGUCCGGAUUGGAACCAGAGUUGUUGGCUCUUCGGAGCUGACGACUUUGCUUCCUACCCUUUUUAAACUCUUAACUAUUAUGAAUGUUAAACCAUUGUCUUCGGACAUAAACAAUAUACAACUUUUGACAACGGAUCUCUUGGUUCUCCCAUCGAUGAAGAACGCAGCGAAAUGCGAUAAGUAAUGUGAAUUGCAGAAUUCAGUGAAUCAUCGAAUCUUUGAACGCACCUUGCGCCCUUGGGUAUUCUCAAGGGCAUGCCUGUUUGAGUGUCAUAACAAUCUCAACUCUCAACUUUUUUGUGAAAGAAGGUUGCUUGGAGUUGGUGAUGGGCGUUUGCCAGAUCUUGCAUCUUGCUCGCCUGAAAUUGAUCAGUGGAUCUUUCUGAGUCCGGUCUGACUAUGUGUGAUAAUUUGAUCGCAUAGGAUGUGCUUGCACAACCGGAUCUUAACAUGAAGUUCUGCUCCUAACACGGAAUGGCCAGAGAGUAACUUUCUGCCAUCGUUAGCUAUAUUGUCUGACCUCAAAUCAGGUAGGACUACCCGCUGAACUUAAGCAU
This 632-nucleotide ribosomal RNA is filed under the name Tilletia narayanaraoana. RNAcentral describes it as "eukaryotic LSU rRNA". The stretch from base 195 to 348 matches the Rfam family "5.8S ribosomal RNA". The record is from RNAcentral. Lineage: Eukaryota; Fungi; Basidiomycota; Exobasidiomycetes; Tilletiales; Tilletiaceae.